Aethalodelphis obliquidens (Pacific white-sided dolphin) is the source of this 1836-nucleotide long non-coding RNA. RefSeq lists it as uncharacterized. The record is from RefSeq and is a predicted model, not a curated record. The transcript is spliced from 3 exons. NCBI's taxonomy places the organism in Eukaryota, Metazoa, Chordata, Mammalia, Artiodactyla, Delphinidae.
CCGAGUGGGCUGGGCUUCUGCGGCCUCGGGCCCUGGGGUCCGCGCUUAGAAGUACGUCGGCGCUCCGAAGGGGCCCAGCGAGGCGGAGGGUUGAGAAGGGGCCGGGCUGUCCACCUCUUCCUGUGCAGAGAUCUCUACAGCGCCCAUGCUGUGACCCCUGCAGCUGAGUGGCACAUGGAGACAGAACCAGCUCCAGGAGGGUGCUCAGGAGUCUGGCGCCCGCCCAGAGCAGGAAUCCAGCGGGACGCCAUUGGCUGUUAACCAGACAGUCGCUUUAAUAAAGCGUCUUUACAGGUAUCGAGUGAAUGUUUAAGGACCUAAAGUUAAGGACAGCUGUCCGGGAGUGAGCACAGCCUGCUGUGUGUCAGGCUCUUUAGAUGCAUCAUCUGAGUCCUGGCACAGCCUUCGGAGUGUGGCGCUGAACCGUCGUGGGUCACUCGCCCCUUGAGAACCUGGUGGAAGCCAUGUAUCCUCUCUCGAGAAGAAUCACCUCACACACACUUUGGCAUUUAACCUCUGAGAGUUUGAAGAUCUAAAAAUGCACACAUGUGUACCUUGUCCCUAGAUUCCAGGUUAUGAAUAACGUGCUUUAAAGAGAGAUAUUAUCUCCAUUUUGCAGUUGAGGAAACUGGGUCAGGAGGAGGUUAAUUAACUCGCAGGUUUGCCUGGUAGAUAGUGGGACCAGUUUGACUCCGUGUCUUCUUGACUCCAAGCCCUUUAUUUUUUCCACUGUCCAAAAGUAGAGAUGCUCAGUAAAUGAGGGAGUGAGUGUACGAAGGUCUGAAAAGGGAGCUUUAAAGUGUAUGUGCCCCAGAAUCUGCCAAACAUCCAUUUGAUAUCAGAAUAGACAAGGAGAAGAUUUUUCUCAAGGAUUUGGAUUUAGCUGCCAACAUUUUUUGUGUUGCUUGCAACUUUUUCCAGUUUUGUCAAGUGAUAAUUUUCCCCCCAUGAUACCAGUUCCAACAGUUUUUGCUUCUGAUGCCAUUUCUGUUUGGCUGUGCACAUUUCUUACUGUCAUGUUGAAUUAUGUUUUCUCUGGAUGCCAAGGCAGAUGGAUGGCACUUUUGUUAUGAUUCUGAUAUAAAUAGCAUCUGUUAGAAACUGGACAUCAAUACUUAUCUGGCAAGUAAAACAAAUAUAUCAGUGGAAUAGCCUUCUAAUCAUGUUUUUGCCUGUGGUUAGUAAGUGCCUCUGAUGGUCUAUGACUCGGUGCUUGUUUGGGGGCAUUGGUUUUAUUAUCCUUGCUAUUUUCUACCUUACCAUACAAGUUUUGAUAUAAUCGUAUUUAUUAAUUCUCUUUAUAUAGAAAACCUAACCUGAAGAUGGUGCAAAGCCAGGGGUGACCUAAAGGGCUCAUCACAGUGCCUCGCUCACACUCAGAACAUUGCUUGGCUUUCGAGAUCAAGGGUAAAAUGAACCCACGCUCCUUACCCUUGCACUGUUAGGUGUUGAUAACUGGGGUCCAUUGAGAACAAAGAUUAAUAGAGUGCUUCCUGCGUGCCAGGCCCCAUGGUAGGUGCUGAGUACAGGAAGAUGAGUGCAGCUGAUUCUCUCCACUGGAAGAGCUCACUGACUAACUAGCAGGGCACACAGAUAAACAGCCGAGAGAAAGGUCUGGAAGCAGAGAAUCAAAGUGAAGCUAGAUGUGGGACUAGAGGGAUGGACUGGGAGGUAUUAAUACUUUAUUCUUGACGUGCCCCGGCCCCUAGCAAGGUCAUGGAAAUAUGGGUGCCUUUGACCUUUUUGUCCUUCUCCUUUUUUAAAAAAAAAAAAUUAUUUAUUUAUUUGGCUGUGCUGGGUCUUAGUUGCGGCAUGCAGGAUCUUUAGUUGCAGUAU